This 403-nucleotide ribosomal RNA is filed under the name bacterium. Its description in RNAcentral is "partial 16S ribosomal RNA". It matches the Rfam family "Bacterial small subunit ribosomal RNA", at positions 355 to 776 of the family's 1533-position model. The record is from RNAcentral.
UGGGGAAUCUUGCACAAUGGGGGAAACCCUGAUGCAGCGACGCCGCGUGAGCGAUGAAGGUUCUCGAAUCGUAAAGCUCUGUCCUAUGGGAAGAUAAUGACGGUACCCUAGGAGGAAGCCCCGGCUAACUACGUGCCAGCAGCCGCGGUAAUACGUAGGGGGCGAGCGUUGUCCGGAAUUACUGGGCGUAAAGGGUUCGCAGGCGGCAUGACAAGUCCGAUGUAAAAGGCGAAAGCUCAACUUUCGUAGGCAUCGGAAACUGUCUAGCUUGAGUGAGGGAGAGGCAAGUGGAAGUCCUAGUGUAGCGGUGGAAUGCGUAGAUAUUAGGAGGAAGACCGGUGGCGAAGGCGACGUGCUGGACUUCAACUGACGCUGAGGAACGAAAGCGUGGGUAGCAAACAGG